Molecule: non-coding RNA, 92 nt
Organism: Fomitopsis serialis
Lineage: Eukaryota; Fungi; Basidiomycota; Agaricomycetes; Polyporales; Fomitopsidaceae
Source: the annotation of a RefSeq genome assembly
UCUCUGUUAGUAUAUCGGUUAGUACACGCGCCUGUCAUAACCCUCUCCUUCGUUGGUCGCGCGAAAGCGGGGUUCGACUCCCCGACAGAGAG